AUUGAACGCUGGCGGCAGGCUUGACACAUGCAAGUCGAGCGGGGUGAUGGUGCUUGCACUAUCACUUAGCGGCGGACGGGUGAGUAAUGCUUAGGAAUCUGCCUAUUAGUGGGGGACAACAUCUCGAAAGGGAUGCUAAUACCGCAUACGUCCUACGGGAGAAAGCAGGGGAUCACUUGUGACCUUGCGCUAAUAGAUGAGCCUAAGUCGGAUUAGCUAGUUGGUGGGGUAAAGGCCUACCAAGGCAACGAUCUGUAGCGGGUCUGAGAGGAUGAUCCGCCACACUGGGACUGGGACACGGCCCAGACUCCUACGGGAGGCAGCAGUGGGGAAUAUUGGACAAUGGGGGGAACCCUGAUCCAGCCAUGCCGCGUGUGUGAAGAAGGCCUUAUGGUUGUAAAGCACUUUAAGCGAGGAGGAGGCUCUUUUGGUUAAUACCCAAGAUGAGUGGACGUUACUCGCAGAAUAAGCACCGGCUAACUCUGUGCCAGCCGCCGCCGUAA
This 503-nucleotide ribosomal RNA is filed under the name uncultured bacterium. Its description in RNAcentral is "partial 16S ribosomal RNA". It matches the Rfam family "Bacterial small subunit ribosomal RNA", at positions 30 to 523 of the family's 1533-position model. The record is from RNAcentral.